This 72-nucleotide transfer RNA is filed under the name Clunio marinus. It matches the Rfam family "tRNA". Rfam says of the family: Transfer RNA (tRNA) molecules are approximately 80 nucleotides in length. Their secondary structure includes four short double-helical elements and three loops (D, anti-codon, and T loops). Lineage: Eukaryota; Metazoa; Arthropoda; Insecta; Diptera; Chironomidae. The record is from Rfam by way of RNAcentral.
GGCUCAGUGGUCUAGGGGUAUGAUUUUCGCUUCGGGUGCGAGAGGUCCCGGGUUCAAUUCCCGGCUGAGCCC